AUGGCAGAAUAGUGCAAUGGAUUUAAACCCCAUAUAUAAAGUUAUUUAAACUUUUU
RNAcentral lists this transfer RNA (56 nucleotides) under Agrilus biguttatus. RNAcentral's name for it is "partial tRNA-Leu". Lineage: Eukaryota; Metazoa; Arthropoda; Insecta; Coleoptera; Buprestidae. The record is from RNAcentral.